UGCCUCAUGGUGUAACGGUAGCACAGCAGUCUCUGGAACUGCUUGUUUAGGUUCGAAUCCUAAUGAGGCAACCA
This 74-nucleotide transfer RNA is filed under the name Verrucomicrobia bacterium ADurb.Bin070. RNAcentral describes it as "tRNA-Gln". It matches the Rfam family "tRNA". From Rfam's summary of the family: Transfer RNA (tRNA) molecules are approximately 80 nucleotides in length. RNAcentral also lists the same sequence under 3 other names. The record is from RNAcentral. Lineage: Bacteria; Pseudomonadati; Verrucomicrobiota.